AUGCCCCGGCCCGACCCCAAACUGGCGAGGUCAGUGGUGCGCGCGCACCCUCCGAGUCAGCACCUCCCUGGAGCCGCAGGUUCUCCGAGCGGCUCUCCCCCGAUUGCAGUGUCCACGCUGGCCUCUAAGAGCCCCCGAUGCCUUCGGCCAGAGCUGUUUUCCCGUUUCGAGAAGGCUCCACCACACUCUACACGGGAUCCAAUCAAGAGCCAUUCCAAAAAUGGCGAAGGGCUCGACGCCCGGGCCUUGAGGCAAAAGCGACUCGGGCACAAGCGAAACUGCUCAGACGCACUUCACAUUAAAGACGCCGACAACACAGCGAGACGAAAAUGGGUCUGUGCGCAGGCGCGCGGAACCACGACUAGCGCGCUGGGGACGAUCCUUCCCCCCUCCCUCAAAGGCCAAGGCAGUGUGGCUCCGACGCGCUUGCGCGAGGAUGGAACGUUGGGUGAGGGGAAACCCGUUCCCUUCAUUGUGAGAGAAAACCGCCCCCGCAAAGCGGGCGGGCGAGCGCGCGCGCGCUCACGCACCGGCGCGCCCCGGGCUUUUCGCCCGGCACCUCGCGCAUGCGCGGAGAGGGAAGCAGUCGUUAAGUCAGGCUUUUUGCUGAGUUUCCUUGAGAAGUUUCUGGAAAGACGAAGCCAAAGCGACGCUGGGAGAUGAGCGCAACGAGGCAAGCGUUUGAAAAAAGCGAAACACCCCAAGCACGCCGUCACACCUUCAGCCUUCGAGCCACGGCCCAAGCAGAGCCCAAGGCCACUGACACCCUCACGCCAGAGAAAAAAACACAGGGACUGCGGCAGGCGCUCCUCCCUCCGGCAGUGCUCAGCCUCCGGGACCCGUCAGCACGGGGAGAGGGGAGAGGGCAGGGGGUGGCCAUGAGAAGCCUAGGGCGCCACAGGACGUUUGCUAGGUGGAAGGAAAGCCGAAACCCGCCCUCUGGAGUCGCCUGCGCGUGCGGGCCCCCUCGAGUGGGCUCAGUACGUUAGGACUCAGCGGUGCUGCCGAAGCAUGGUUGAGGGCGUCUUUCACCGCUUUUUCCUAAGUUUUCCCUCCUCUUGGGAUCUGUGGUCCCUCCCCCGUCCGUCUUCGCUUUGGUGGCCUGACGCUAACGCUGCGAGUGUGGGGAGACCGCAGCAACCCCGGGCCUGAGGGGGCGUCUGUUGCUCCUUUAAAGAAAAGCCCCGCGGAGAGGGGCCCGUGUGACCGAGCAAAGGUAGCGCGCGCCAGCACAAUGGCCGCGUCGUUGGCAGCUCCGGACGCCGCCGCAGGUGCCGCAGGGCGGCGUGGGAAGGCCGGGCGCCUGGGCUGGCAGAACGGCGUUGGCGCUCGGGGGGCCGGGCGGGGGCAGGGAGCCACAGCGCUUCGCAGAUGCCUCUCAGCGGCCGAGCGGCUGCCAUUUUGUGAUGUGGCCGCCGCCAUUUCGCGCGGCCUGUGGGCGGGGCGGCGGGCGAGCGCGUCCCCUUUGUUCUUCCUUUUAUCGGCUGGAGGCCCCAGUGUAGACCGCCGACCGCUUCGGAACCGGGUUACUUCCGAGCGGCCACGCGGCGUGUGAACCUUGCGGCGCGGGCUGGGCGUGCGCAAGGCUCCAACUCUCUUCCGCCUUGCAAGCCCUUCUAAAGUGGGAUUUCUCACCCCACUCUUGCAGGGUGUAGGGAACACUUUUUUUUUUUUUGGUUGAGGGGAACUCAGCCGUGAGAAGUGGUUGUCUAGAGCUUUGAGCUGUUGCCGGUAACGAACCCGUGCGGGUGCCCGGCUUUAGGCGAUCAUGGCGCUCUGCAAAUAGCCCAACUGCAGAGGUCGCCCCUUAGAUCUUCCUCAGCUGCCGGGAGACCUCACAAAGGUGCUAAAAACCCGAUGUCUCUAGCGGUUGGGCUUUUUUUUAAAAAAAAAAACAAAAAAGGAUGUCUUUGACGUGCUGGAAAGCGGAGGAGAAUGAGACGUUGCUUUUCAUUGGCUGGCCAUUAAGCACGCACUGCGCAACUGUUCUCCAGAUACGGGUUUAUAGCCCAUUGUAUCUGAGCCAUAAACUUGAACAAUAGAUUUGAGUAUCUUAUUUCUGUCUGUUUAGAACAUUUCCCAUUUAACUUCUUUUUAAAAUCCCAGAUGAGUAUGUAAAUAAUACAUUGACCUAAUAGAAUCUAUUGUGUGCCUGCCAGCGUUAUUUCAAAUCCUGAAAGAGCUAUUGUUUUUCUGUUUCAAAAAUAUUUAAAUGUAAGUCUUGGUGUUUUAAUGUUAAGGUUGUGGCUUGAAAUCAACAAAGCCAGGAAAUUCAAGAGAAGUGCUGCUAAAUUUGUCUUCCCCCUUUGCUUUUGUACAACUUUUUUUUUUGUUUAAUGUUUUGUUUUUUUUUAAGUUUGUUUUUCUUCACCACAGCGUGAGUUCGUAAAAGAGGCAGCCAAAUCUAUUGGUGGCUCAGCUGCCGCAGGCUUUUUGUUUUCUUACUAUGUGUAAUUACAGGGAAUUAUUUGUUUCAGCAAUAAGGAAUAAAGCUCAUAAUGAUAAGGUUAAAAGGUAAACAUCUGUUGUUGACGGAAUUGAUCAGGAUUUGAUGGCUUCUAGAUGAAAGAAAUAGAAGAGGCUUUUGGAUUCCAAAUAAUUUAGUUCCAUUAUGACCAAACUUAAAGCACUGCAUAGAGCUUUAAAUUUUUAUACCAUAGUUUAAGAUUGUGUAAGUCUUUUGGCAUGAACUGUCCUUUUGUUUUUGAGACGGCCUUACUGUCUUGGCGGUGGCGAAAUCAUGGCUCACUGCAGGCUUAACUUCCCUGGGCUCAGGUGAUCCACCCACCUCAGCCUUCAUUGUAGCUGAGACAAUAGGUACGAACCACCACCCCGGGCUAAUUUUUUAAGGUGGGGUUUCGCCUUGUUGCCCCGCUGGUCUCCAGCAUCUGGGCUCAAGAGAGCCUCUCCUAGUGUUGAGAUUACAGGCAUGAGGAACCGCUCCUGGCUUGUCCUUCAUUUUCGCAGUGAGAGCCUACAGAACAUAUAUAUAUAUAUUUGUUAAUGCUGUGGGGUUUUUUUCUUUUUUGCCUGUGCAACGAAAAUGAAAUACUCUAAAAGCAUGAGUUUUAUUGGAAAUUUGGAGUCUAUUACAGUAGCCUGAUAACUCAGGCAAAUUAUGGCUCUAAUUAUCUGGGCAGUUCAGAAGGAUCUGUUUAAACAGUCCUAAUUCCUUGGGUUCAUUUUUAUAUAUAAACACAUACCUUUAACCAUUACAUUUAACACAGCACAUCCUUUUAUUGUACAAAAAAAUGAUGUUAAUUUGUAUUUUCUUAAAGAGUGGGUGGUGUUUGCACUGUUGACGUCUCCCUUAUGACCAGGGCGUACAUUUGCAAAACAGUUGAACAGAAAUCCAGGCUAACCUCCUCCACCAUACUCAUAUCGACCUAGCUUCCUAACCGGAAAAACCCCAAACACUGUUAGAACUGGUGAACUUUAAAUAUGCAGAGAACCAUCCUCAAAUAAGCAGAUUGAAUCACCACAUCUCAUGAUCUGCCCCAGAGGUGAAAAGGCCUUUGUUUAUAUAGUCCUGGAUCUCGUUUGUGUUUGUCAGGCUAUACCAGACUAGCAAAUUCCAGAACUGCUAAUUCAUUGUUCCUGUAGUUUUUCUUACUCUAAAACCGAGGUGUCUGAAUUAAUUUGUACCACAUAUAUGCUCCCUAGAAGAGGGUAGAUGUUAACCAAAACCUUUGAUUCGACCCAGAUCCUUAAGACAGACAAUGCAGAAUAGAAAUGGUGUGGACUAGGCCCCUUUUGCUCAUGCCUUUGGAUUUGUUCUUUUUUUCUUUUUCUUUUUUUUUUUUUUUGGCAUUUGACAAAGUUUCUGGGCUGCUUUUCUGAACAAUGGAUAGAAACCAUAAUAAUCCCUAUCCAUUGUUCAAGGAAAGAACAGCUUCUCAUGCCAAAUUCUGAAAUAGGAGAGAAUUUAAAACAAUAACUUUUUACCCGUAAAGAUACAUGAACUUCUUUAGUCGGUUUAAUAAUGUGGGAAGUCCUUCAAAAUAUUUUUGGCAGCAGUUAGCACUCCCACAUCGUGUAAUAAUUUUUUCUCCUUUGAGGCAGAACAUUCAGAGAGUUGGUUAUAAAAUGCUUUCCUACACUUCAGAAGUAUUGGAGUUCAAGGAACAAAUACUUGCAACAACAGUAUGCUUCUUAGAAAAAUAAGAAAGACAGCGGGGCAUGGUGGCUCACGCCUGUAAUCCUAGCACUUUGGGAGGCUGAGGCGGGCAGAUCAACAGGUCAGGAGAUCGAGACCAGUCUGGCCAACAUGGUGAAACCCCGUCUCUACUAACAAAAUAUAAAAAUUAGUUGGGCGUGGUGGCGUGCGCCUAUAGUCCCAGCUACUCGGGAGGCUGAGGCAAGAGAAUUGCUUGAAGCCUGGAAGUGGAGGUUGCUGUGAGCCAAGAUCACACGACUGCACUCCAGUCUGUAUGACGGAGUGAGACUCAGUCUCAAAAAAAAAAAAAAAAAAAAAAAGCCUGGGCACAGUGGCUUUCACCUGUAAUCCCAGCACUUUGGGAGGCUGAGGUAGAUGGAACACCUGAGAUCAGGAGUUCGAGAUUAGCCUCACCAAUAUGGUGAAACCCUGUCUCUACUAAAAAUACAAAAAUCAGCUGGGGGUGGUGGCAGGUGCCUGUCGUCCCAGCUAUUCUGGAGGCUGAGGCAGGAGAAUUGCUAGAAACCGGGAGGUGGAGGUUGCAGUGAGCUGAGAUUGUGCCACUGUACUCCAGCCUGAGCAACAAGAGCAAAACUCCAUCUCAAAAAAAAAAAAGUAAACAAUGCUCCUGGGUCACUCAACGUUUGUUUGUCAUGCCAGAGUACAAAAUGGUCAACUCUAGAGCAAAAUUCUAUCUUGACAGCUAUGCAGAUUAUGUAAAACCUGUAGAUGUUUUAUGGUAUAAGUGACCUAGUUAGAUAACAUAUCAAAAAGACUGAAAAGUCAGGAUUUAAACUUGUUUAACAAUUAUUGAGCAUCAAACAAUGUACCAGAGCCUGUUUCUGGUGCUUAGGUAUAUCACUGAAUAAAAACAAAGCAAAUAUCCCUGUUCUCAUGGAGCUUACCCUGGUGGAGAAGGGAGACAGACAAUAAGGAAAUUAAUAGAAGUGGCAAGUGCAAUGGUAAAUAUAGAGUGAAGGAUAAUAGAGAUGAAGCAAGUCUUGUAAUUUUAAAUGAGGUGGUUAGGGUAGGCCUCAAGAAGGAGAUGGUUUUUAACUUUUUUUGUACAUACAUAUUUUUGAAACAGAGUCUCACUCUGUUGCCCAGGCUGGAGUGCACUGAUGGGAUCUCGGCUCACUGCAGCCUUCGCUUCCUGGGAUCAAGUGAUCCUUCUGCCUCAGCCUCCAGAGUAGCUGGGAUUACAGGUGCCCACAACUAUGCCCAGCUAAUUUUUGUAUUUUUACUACAGACAGUGUUUCACUCUGUUAGCCAGGAUGGUCCCAAUCUCCUGACCUUGUGAUCCGCCCACCUUGGCCUCCCAAAGUGUUCAGAUUAUAGGUGUGAGCCACCACCUCUGGACCAGAUUACAGGUGUGAGCCACCACCCCUGGCCUUAUUUGUACAUUUUUAGAGAAAGGGUCUCGCUGUCACCCAGACUGAAAUGCAGUGGUGUAAUUCUAGUUCACCUCAGGCUCUAACUCCUUGACUCAAGCGAUCUUCCUGCUUCAGCUCCCCAAAGUACUAGGAUUACAGGUGUGUGACUUAGUGCCCCACCAAGGAGAUAUUUAUUAUCAGAUGAGGAAGUUCCUUUUCAACUAUUUGACAAAAUCUACCACUUCUUCAUAAUAAAUACAGUUAUGAAAAGGAACUUCCUCAUCUGAUAAUAAAUAUCUCCUUGGUGGGGCACCAAGUCACACACCUGUAAUCCUAGGUGAAGGAUUACAGAGGGAAGAGAUUGCAGAGGGAAUCAUAAAAAGACUUUCAAGGAGGAGCAUGACUGGCACAUAUGAAAUAGAAGAAGGAAAUCAGUGUAGUUAAAGUAGAAUGGUCAUAGCUGGGUGUGGUGGCUCAUGCCUGUGAUCCCAGCACUUUGGGAGGCAGAGGUGAGAAGAUUGCUUGAGGUCAGGAGUUCCAGAUCAACCUGUGCAACAUGGUGAGACCGUCUCUACAAAAUGUUAAAAUUACUUGGGCGUGGUGUGUGCCUGUAGUCCUAGUUACGAGCAAUGCUGAGUCAGAAGGACUCCUUGUGCCUGGGAGUCUAAGGUUACAGUGAGCUAUGACUGCACCACUGCACUACAACCUGGGUAACAUGGUAAAACCUCAUCUCUACAAAAAAUAUAAAAAUUAGCCAGGCAUGGUGGCAUGCACCUCUGGUCCCAACUACUUGGGAGGCUGAGGUCAGAGAAUUGAGCCUGGGAAGUGAGUCAAGGCUGCAGUGAGCCUUGAUUGUGCCACUGCACUCCACCCUGGGUGACAGAGGGAGACUCCGUCUUAAAAAAAAAAAAAUUGAAGCUGGGCGCGGUGGCUCAUGCCUGUAAUCCCAGCACUUUGGGAGGCCGAGGCGGGUGGAUCAUGAGUUCAAGAGAUCGAGACCAUCCUGGCCAACAUGGUGAAACCCUGUCUCUACUAAAUAAAAAAAAAAUUAGCCGGGCAUGGUGGCACAUACCUGUAAUCCCAGCUACGGGAGGCUGAGACAGGAGAAUCGUUUGAACCCAGGAAGCAGAGGUUGCGGUGAGCAGAGAAUGCACCAUUGCACUCCAGCCUGGGCAACAGGAGCGAAACUCCAGUCUCAAGAAAAGAAAAAGAAAUAGAAUGGUCAAGAGGGGGAGUAUAGGAUGAAUGUCAAAGAGUCAGAGGAGUGUGUGGGACAGAUCUGUAGACUGGUAGACCGUAGUGGGUCUCUAUGGCUUUUAAUGUUGACAUGUUUUUUCUUAAUUUUUUUUUUUUUUUUUUUUUUUGUGGAGAUGGAGUUUCGCUCAUUACCCAGGCUGGAGUGCAAUGGCGCGAUCUCGGCUCACCGCAACCUCCACCUCCUGGGUUCACGCAAUUCUCCUGCCUCAGCCUCCUGAGUAGCUGGGAUUACAGGCACGCGCCACCAUGCCCAACUAAUUUUUUGUAUUUUUAGUAUAGACGGGGUUUCACCAUGUUGACCAGGAUGGUCUCGAUAUCUUGACCUCAUGAUCCACCUGCCUCGGCCUCCCAAAGUGCUGGGAUUACAGGCGUGAGCCACCGCGCUGGGCCGACAUGUUUUUAAAAGACUGCGCAACAUAUUGAGAAUAAAAGACCUAGGAUAGAAGCAGGAGCCGAAUGAAUUGGCCAUAUCAGUAAUCCAAGUGAAGGUGAGGGUGGCUUUAAUGACCAAAAUCUAUAUAUCCUGGAAAGAUAUAUAUGUGUGUGUGUGUGUGAGAGAGAGAGAGACUGAGUCUCACUCUGUCACCCAUACUGGAGUGCAGUAGCGCAGUCUCGGCUCACUGCAACUUCUGCCUCCCAGGCUCAAACAUUUCUCCUGCCUCAGCCCCCUGAGUAGCUGAGACAACAGGUGUGUGCCACUACUGCCCAGCUAAUUUGUGUGUGUGUGUGUGUGUGUGAUAAAAUCUCGAUCUGGAGCCCAGGCUGGAGUGCAAUGGCGUGAUCUUGGCUCAUUGCAGCCUCUACCUCCCAGGUUCAAGCGAUUCUCCUGCCUCAGCCUCCAAGUAGCUGGGGUUACAGGUAUGCACCGUCAUGCCAGGCUAAUUUUUAUAUUUUUUAGUAGAGACGAGGUUUUACCAUGUUGGCCAGGCAGGUCUUGAACUCCUGAUCUCGUAAUUCACCUGCCUCGGCCUCCCAAAAUGCUGAGAUUACAGGCGUGAGCCACUGUGCCCUAGCCCUGGAUACAUUUUGACAGUAAAUUCAAGCAGACUUUCUGGUAGAUGGAACAUGGGAUUGAUAAAAAGAGGAGUCAAGGAUGAGCCAAAACAUUUUUUGACCUGGGCAAUUUUUGACCUGGGCAACUGAAAGAGUUGUGAUGAAGGAGGACCGGAUAGAGCAGUUCUGCAGGAGAAGAUUAGAAGUUCAAUUUGGGUGUGUUCAAUUUGAGGUGUUUAUUAGAUAUCAAAUGGAGGUGCAGGUGGGCUAUUGGAUAUAUGGGUUUUGAGUUUAGGAGGAAGUUCUGGAGAUUUAUAUUUUUAUAUAUAUGCCCUUUUUUAAUAUUACCUGUAUUUGUAUGUAAGAGAGUUAUCCUAUAAAUAGCAUUUAAAGCCUCAUACUGGAAGAGAUCACAAUGUAAAUAUAGAAGGAAAUACAAUCAAGGAAGCCCUGAGGCACUCCACUGUUAAGAGGUCUGAGAAGGUUUGCAAAGCAGGAUGAGAAGUAACAACCAGUUAGGUGGAAAACCAGGAAAGGGUGGUGUCCAGGAGUCAAGUCAAGAAAAUGGAGGAGGUGGCCAGGCACGGUGGCUCACACCUGUAAUCCCAGCACUUUGGGAGGCUGAGGCAGGCAGAUCAUGUGGUCAGGAGUUUGACACAAGCCUGGCCAAUAUGGUGAAACCCCGUCUCUAUUAAAAAUAUAAAAGUUAGCUGGGCAUGGUGGCACACACCUGAAUUCCCAGCUACUUGGGAGGCUGAGGCAGAAUUGCUUGAACCCAGGAGGCAGAGGUUGAAGUGAGCUGAGAUCCCGCCAUUGCACUCCAGCCUGGCAACAAAGUGAGACUCCAUCUCAAAAUAAAUAAAUAAAAAUAAAAUUUAAAAAAGCUGGGUGUGGUGGCAUGUGUCUGUAGUCCUAGCUACUGGGGAGGCUGAGGCAGGAGAAUCUCUUGAACCCGAGGGGCAGAGGCUGCGGUGAGUCAAGGUUGCAGCACUUCUCUCCAACCUGGGCUACUAAGUGACUCUGUCUCAAAAAAAAAAAAAAAAAAAAUGGAGGAGGGAAUGCUCAAUGGUGAAAUGCUGCUGAGAAAUUAAGUUGAGGCAUGAAAAUUGAGUAUUGUAUGAGCAAGUGGAAGUCAUUGGUGACCUUGACAAGAGCCUCUGCAGGAAGUAGUGGGGCAAAAGUUUUGUUAGAAUGGAUUGAAAACAACAAAACAAAAAACAGUGGCUGGGCCGCGUGGUGGCUCACGCCCAUAAUCCCAGCAUCACGAGGUCAAGAGAUCCAGACAUCCUGGUCAACAAGGUGAAACCCCAUCUCUAUUAAAAAUACAAAAAUUAGCUGGGCAUGGUGGUUCGCGCCUGUAGUCCCAGCUACUCGGGAGGCUGAGGCAGGAGAAUUGCUUGAACCCAGAAGGUGAGCCGAGAUUGCGCCAUCGCACUCCAGUCUGGGUAACAACAGUGAAACUUCAUCUCAAAAAACAAACAAAAAAAACCCCAGUAAGUAUGACCUUUGGAAAAGCCUGACGGUGAGACUUAGAGGGGAAGAUGCCAGAGACUGUGAUGUUGGAAAGUACCUUCUGUUUUAGGAAGUCCCUGGGUCAGUGCAGCAAGUGGGAACUCAAAACCUUAGGGCUUCCAGAGGAAUUGUUUGGUACAUUCUCAGGACGUGGUCUCCUUCUGGCCUCAUACCUGCUCCAUGAUGAUAUGAAUAAUAAAUUAUUUCUCAAAAAAGAAAACAAGGCAGGUGCAGAGGCUCACACCUGUAAUCCCAGCACUCUGGGAGGCUGUCAGGCAGCUCAUGAGGUCAGAAGAUCAAGACCAUCGUGGCCAAUAUGGUGAAACCCUGUUUCUACUAAAAAAUACAGAAAAAAUUAGCGGGGCAUAGUGAUGCGCACCUGUAGUUCCAGCUACUCAGGAGACUGAGGCAGGAGUCUCAGUGUACAUUUUCUAAUUUUUUAUGAAAUGUUGCUCUCCAGCUUAUGUAGAAUAACAUCUUCACCUGUUUUUCCUUUAUCCUAGCACACACUAUAUUUCUGCCAUUUACAUUGAUUUAUACUGCUAGUGAUUUAGGGAUUCAGUUUUUUGGAGUUGGGAGGCAGAGGUUUCCUUGAGCUGAGAUCACCCUCUGCACUCCAGCCUGGGAGACAGAGCAAGACUCCAUCUCAAAAAAACAAAAAAAGAAAAAAUAAAGACAAGAUUUGAAGGUCCCAAGUAGGAUCUUUGACUCAGACACGGUAUUGUGAUUUUCUUUUCUCUCUCUCUCUCUCUUUUUUUUUUUUUUUGAGAUAGAGUCUCACUCUGUCGCCAGGUGCCAGGCUGGAGUGCAGUGGCGCAAUCUUGGCUCACUGUGACCUCUGCCUGCCUCCCGGGUUCAAACAAUUCUGCCUCAGCCUCCCGAGCAGCUGGGACUACAGGCACAUGCCACCAUACCCAGCUAAUUUUUGUAUUUUUUGGUAGAGACAGGGUUUCACCAUGUUGGCCAGGAUGGUCUUGAUCUCUUGACCUCCUGAUCUGCCCGCCUCGGCCUCCCAAAGUGCUGGGAUUACAGGCAUGAGCCACCAUGCCUGGCCCGUGAUUUUCUUCUCUAGAAAUGGAGUCCCGCUCUGUCCCCCAGGCUAGAGUGCAAUGACAUGACCUUGGCUCACUGCAACCUCUACUUCCCUGGUUUAAGCGAUUCUCCUGCCUCAACUCCUGAGUAGCUGGGAUUACAGGCAUGUGCCACCAUGCCCAGCUCUUUUUUUUUUUUUUUUUUUUUAGAAGAGGCAGGGUUUUACCAUGUUGGUCAGGCUGGUCUCAAACUCCUGACCUCAUGAUCCACCCACCUCAGCCUCCCAGAGUGCUGGGAUUACAGGUAUGAGCGCUGUGCCUGGCUGACUUGAGAUGUAUUUCUGAUGGUUACUGCAUUAGUUAUGUGUAGAGUAUACGUCAUGAAAAUUCCACUUCUUGGAGAGUAUUAAAUUUUUUUUUUCCGCUUUUAUUCUGGUCUACUCCGGGACAGAGUAUUAAAUUUUAAGAAAGUUUUUUUUGGUGGGGGGGCAGGCAUGGUGGUUCAUGCCUGUAAUUCUAGCACUUAGGUAGGCCAAGGUGGGUAGAUAACCCCAGGUCAGGAGAAUCGAGACCAUCCUGGCUAGCAAGGUUAACUUUUACAUUUUUUUGUAGAGACAGGGUCUCAUUGUAUUGCCCAGUCUGGUCACAAACUCUUGAUGUUUAUUGCCUAUCUCUGCUAACACACAAAAAAAAUUAGCCUGGUGUGGUAGUGCACGCCUGUAACCCCAACUCCUUGGGAGGCUGAGGUAGGAGAAUCACUUGAACCCAGGAGGCGGAGGUUGCAGUGAGCAAUGAUCAUGGCAUUGCACUCCAGUCUGGGCAACAAGAGCAAAACUCUGUCUCAAAAAAAAAAAAAAGAUUUAUCUUUCAAAAGAAGAUAAAAAAGUAUGUGUGGUAUCCAUUAUCUUGGGGACACUGUGUACAAAUGCCAUGCUGGAUGUUUUCAGUGUUUUUUUUUUUGAGAUGGAGUUUCACUCUUGUCCCCUAGGCUAGAUUUCAAUGGCAUGAUCUCGGCUCACCAACCUCUGCCUCCCAGGUUCAAGUGAUUCUUCUGCCUCAGCCCCCCAAGUAGCUGGGAUUACAGACAUGCACCACCAUGUCUGGCUAAUUUUGUAUUUUUUAGUAGAGACGGGGUUUUUCCAUGUUGGUCAGGCUGGUCUUGAACUCCCGACCUCAGGUGAUCCACUUGCCUUGGCCUCCCAAAGUGCUGGGAUUACAGGCAUAAGCCACCAAGGCUGGCGUGGUUUUUUGUUUUUUUUUAAGAGUUGGAUUCUUGCUCUGUUGCUGGGCUGGAGUGCAGUGUCAUGAUCCCAGCUCACUGCAACCUACGGCUCCCAUGUUCAAGCGAUUCUUCUGUCUCAACCUCCCAAGUAGCUGGGACUACGGGUGCUCACCACCACACCCAGCUAAUUUUUUUGUAUUUUAGUAGAGACAGGGUUUCACUGUUAGCCAGGAUGGUUUCACCAUGUUAGUCAGGGUGUUAGCCAGGUUGGUCUCGAUCUCCUGACCUAGGUGAUCCACCCACCUCGGCCUCCCAAAAUGCUGGGAUUACAGGUGUGAACCAUGGCGCCUGGCCUGGAUGUUUUUUUGAGACAGGGUCUUGCUCUGUCACCCAGCAGUGAUGUGAUCAUGGCUCCACUGCAGCUUUUAACUCCUGGGCACAAGGGAUCUUCCCCUCUCUGCCUCAGCCUCCCAGGUAUCUGGAACUACAAGAGCAUGUCACCAGCCCUGGCUAACUUUUACAUAUUUUUGUAGAGACAGGGUCUCGUUGUGUUGCCCAGUCUGGUCACAAACUCUUGAUGUUUAUUGCCUUUCCAAGAAAGAGAACCUUUUCCUUCCUUCCUUCCUUCCUUCCUUCCUUCCUUCCUUCCUUCCUUCCUUCCUUCCUUCCUUCCUCCCUCCCUCCCUCCCUCCCUCCCUCCCUCCCUCCCUCCCUUUCAUUCUUCCCUUUUCCCUUCCCUUCUCCCUUUCCUUUCCUUUCCUCUUUUUCUUUUCGAGUCAGAGUCUCACUCUUAUCACCCAGGCUGGAGUGCAAUCACAUUAUUUCCAUUCACUGCAACCCCCACCUUCCUGGUUCCAGCAAUUCUCCUGCUUCAGCCUCCGGAGUAGCUGAAAUUACAGGCAUGCACCACAUGCCCAGCUAGCUAAUUUUUGUAAUUUUAGUAGAAAGGGGGGGUUUCACCACAUUGGCCAGGCUGGUCUUGAACUCCUGACCUCAGGUGAUCCACCCGUCUCAGCCUCCCAAAGUGCUGGGAUUACAGGCAUGAGCCACCGUGCCUGGCCCGUGAUUUUCUUCUCUAGAAAUGGAGUCCCGCUCUGUCGCCCAGGCUGGAGUGCAAUGGCAUGACCUUCGCUAACUGCAACCUCCACUUCCCUGGUUUAAGCGAUUCUCCUGCCUCAACUCCUGAGUAGCUGGGAUUACAGGCAUGUGCCACCAUGCCCAGCUAAUUUUUUUUUGCCUGGCUCACUCGCUCUUUCUUUUUUUCUUUUGCACAAGUUUUCUUUUACUAAAAUUUACUUAUUUUAUGUUAAACAAGGGUCAUUUAUCCUGCAUUUUUUUCAGUAAAUACUUGGAGGAACUUACUACAAAAGGAGAACAGAAAAAAUGGACUGGUAGCAGGUAAGCGGUGAGCGUCUGGGGAAAAGAGAUGAAGAUAAGUUUGUACUUUUUUUUUUUUUGAGACAGAGUGUUGCUCUUGUUGCCCAGGCUGGAGUGUAAUGGCAUGAUCUUGGCUCACUGCAACCGCUGCUUCCCAGGUUCAAGCAAUUCUCCUGCCUCAGCCUCCCAAGUAGCUGGGAUUACAGGUGACUGCCAGCAUGCCCAGCUAAUUUUUUAUUUUUGGUAGAGAUGAGUUUUCUCCAUGUUGGUCAGGCUGGUCUCGAACUCCCAACCUCAGGUGAUCUGCCCACCUCAGCCACCCAAAGUGCUGGCAUUACAGGCAUGAAACAACAAGCCCGGCAAGUUUUUAAGGUAGAAGAAAUAAUUUUGCACAAUACUGCUGAUUGAGUAGAGAAUUAAUGUGGGUUGGAGAGUGAAAAGAAUUGAUGGGAUGAUCUGAGUCCUGAAGUAGGAGGGAAGGGCUGCAUAAGCAAAGCAAUUGGCUUUUGAUAGUUCAGCUAGUAGAGGACCGGAAGCUGGAAUGUACGGGGGCAGAUGCUGGCAAGCAAAUGUGCUUGAGCAAGUCCAUGCAAGAAAUGCCACUAAUUGACCAAGAGACAGAGUCAAGAUAAUUAGCUAUGCUGGCUGGGCACUGUGGCUCACGGCUGUAAUCCCAGCACUUUGGGAGGCCGAGGCAGGCAGAUCACCUGAGGUCAGGAGUUCAAGACCAGCCUGGCCAACAUGGUGAAAUCCCAUCUCU
Molecule: non-coding RNA, 13681 nt
Organism: Callithrix jacchus (white-tufted-ear marmoset)
Lineage: Eukaryota; Metazoa; Chordata; Mammalia; Primates; Cebidae
Source: RefSeq, a predicted model, not a curated record